GGAAAAAGAUAGGACUUACAACUACUGAAUACGGGGUAGUAGCCAUACUCUGGUGGGAAUAACCAUAAAUUAGGGUUUACAUCUACCGAAUACUGGGUAGAAGACCAACAACUCCGCGUGGGGAUGGAAUGAAUCACAAAUCCGCACGGGAAACGGAGAUAGGGUUUAUAACAAACCACACACUGCUGGAGAGCAGGCAAAC
This 202-nucleotide long non-coding RNA is filed under the name Lathyrus oleraceus (garden pea). RNAcentral's name for it is "Pisum sativum (pea) long non-coding RNA (PSAT_LNC014634)". Lineage: Eukaryota; Viridiplantae; Streptophyta; Magnoliopsida; Fabales; Fabaceae. The record is from RNAcentral.